CAUUUUGUAUUGGAAAAAUCUUGAUUAGAGCAACGCCACUCUCUACAUCAAAUCGCUUGUUUGGAGACAACACGUGAACAUUCACCUUCACUGUGAAGUCUGGAACCUCGAGGAUAGAUCGCAUCAACUUUUGCUUUGAUGUGUAGGGCUGUAAAAUGACUGGAACAGCUCUGUUUUGAAAUCUCUCUAAAAAGCAAUCCGACUGAAAAUGAUCUAUCCUUACUCUGGAAUGUGGUCCGACUGCCUCUCUUUUAGCCUUAAACGCAGAAUCUACUCUCUCAACCAUGCUCGAUCGAAUUGAAAUCUAAACAGACUUCUCUCUUUGUUCCUGGCAUGUUUAUAUAUUUACGACAAACUUUACAAGUCAAUGACAUUACUAAUGAACCUUAGAUAUCUCAAAUCGAAGUUAGGAAACUUCAGAUUGACUAGAAGAGUUGUAAACUAAGAGAACACA
This is a long non-coding RNA of Corticium candelabrum, 454 nucleotides long. RefSeq lists it as uncharacterized. The transcript is spliced from 3 exons. Lineage: Eukaryota; Metazoa; Porifera; Homoscleromorpha; Homosclerophorida; Plakinidae. The record is from RefSeq and is a predicted model, not a curated record.